RNAcentral lists this ribosomal RNA (448 nucleotides) under uncultured Anaerolineaceae bacterium. RNAcentral's name for it is "bacterial SSU rRNA". It matches the Rfam family "Bacterial small subunit ribosomal RNA", at positions 919 to 1382 of the family's 1533-position model. Lineage: Bacteria; Bacillati; Chloroflexota; Anaerolineae; Anaerolineales; Anaerolineaceae. The record is from RNAcentral.
ACCCGCACAAGCAGCGGAGCGUGUGGUUUAAUUCGUUGCUACACGAAGAACCUUACCUGGGUUUGACAUAUAGGUUGUAGGGAACUGAAAAGGGACCGACCCUUCGGGAGCCUAUACAGGUGUUGCAUGGCUGUCGUCAGCUCGUGUCGUGAGAUGUUCGGUUAAGUCCGCUAACGAGCGCAACCCUCGUCGUAUGUUAUAUGUGUCAUACGAGACUGCCGGUAAAAGCCGGAGGAAGGUGAGGAUGAUGUCAAGUCAGCAUGACCUUUAUAUCCAGGGCUACACACACGCUACAAUGGUCUGUACAAUGGGUAGCCAAGCCGCGAGGCGGAGCCAAUCCUGAAAGCAGGCCUCAGUUCAGAUUGCAGUCUGCAACUCGACUGCAUGAAGCCGGAGUUGCUAGUAACCGCAGGUCAGCAAUACUGCGGUGAAUACGUUCCCGGGUCUU